UGCGUAGGCGGAUUAAUAAGUCAGUGGUGAAAACCUGCAGCUUAACUGUAGAACCGCCAUUGAUACUGUUAGUCUUGAGUACGGUCAAGGUAGGCGGAAUGUGUAAUGUAGCGGUGAAAUGCUUAGAUAUUACACAGAACACCGAUUGCGAAGGCAGCUUACUGGGCCAUUACUGACGCUGAGGCACGAAAGCGUGGGUAGCGAACAGGAUUAGAUACCCUGGUAGUCC
This 229-nucleotide ribosomal RNA is filed under the name uncultured bacterium. RNAcentral's name for it is "partial 16S ribosomal RNA". It matches the Rfam family "Bacterial small subunit ribosomal RNA", at positions 568 to 796 of the family's 1533-position model. The record is from RNAcentral.